This 312-nucleotide long non-coding RNA is filed under the name Salmo salar (Atlantic salmon). RNAcentral describes it as "lncRNA (ENSSSAG00000115918.1)". Lineage: Eukaryota; Metazoa; Chordata; Actinopteri; Salmoniformes; Salmonidae. The record is from RNAcentral.
GUACAGAGUCAAUGUGGAGGCUAUAUACAGGGGUGUACCGGUACAGAGUCAAUGUGGAGGCUAUAUACAGGGGGUACCGGUACAGAGUCAAUGUGGAGGCUAAAUACAGGGGGUACCGGUACAGAGUCAAUGUGGAGGCUAUAUACAGGGGGUACCGGUAGAGAGUCAAUGUGGAGGCUAUAUACAGGGGGUGCCGGUACAGAGUCAAUGUGGAGGCUAUAUACAGGGGGUACCAGUACAGAGUCAAUGUGGAGACUAUAUACAGGGGGUACCGGUACAGAGUCAAUGUGGAGGCUAUAUACAGUGGGUACC